Long non-coding RNA from Polypterus senegalus (gray bichir), 137 nucleotides. RefSeq lists it as uncharacterized. The transcript is spliced from 3 exons. The record is from RefSeq and is a predicted model, not a curated record. Lineage: Eukaryota; Metazoa; Chordata; Cladistia; Polypteriformes; Polypteridae.
AAGAUGAAUAACUUUUAUUCACCAGGAUCUAGCAGGUAUCAGUGCAGGCCUUUCAGAGUUGGAGGCAAAGAGGAGAGAUCAUCAGCAAUGGAAGGGGUUCUCCAGAAGAUACGAGCAAAACACAAGUUUCUUUGUCU